RNAcentral lists this ribosomal RNA (406 nucleotides) under uncultured bacterium. Its description in RNAcentral is "partial 16S ribosomal RNA". It matches the Rfam family "Bacterial small subunit ribosomal RNA", at positions 30 to 526 of the family's 1533-position model. The record is from RNAcentral.
AUUGAACGCUGGCGGCAGGCCUAACACAUGCAAGUCGAACGAGUGGCGGACGGGUGAGUAAUGUCUGGGAAACUGCCUGUUGGAGGGGGAUAAAUAAUGGAAACGGUAGCUAAUACCGCAUACCAUCGGAUGUGCCCAGAUGGGUUUAGAUAGGAGGGGGGGUAAGGGCUCACCUAGGCGACGAUCCCUAGCUGGUCUGAGAGGAUGACCGGCCACACUGGGACUGAGACACGGCCCUGACUCCUACGGGAGGCAGCAGUGGGGAAUAUUGCACAAUGGGCGCAAGCCUGAUGCAGCCAUGCCGCGUGUAUGAAGAAGGCCUUCGGGUUGUAAAGUACUUUCAGCGGGGAGGCGUUACCCGCAGAAGAAGCACCGGCUAACUCCGUGCCAGCCGCCGCGGUAAUAC